AUCAGUGGCGAACGGGUGAGUAACACGUGAGCAACCUGCCCCUGACUCUGGGAUAAGCGCUGGAAACGGCGUCUAAUACUGGAUAUGUGACGUGACCGCAUGGUCUGCGUUUGGAAAGAUUUUUCGGUUGGGGAUGGGCUCGCGGCCUAUCAGCUUGUUGGUGAGGUAAUGGCUCACCAAGGCGUCGACGGGUAGCCGGCCUGAGAGGGUGACCGGCCACACUGGGACUGAGACACGGCCCAGACUCCUACGGGAGGCAGCAGUGGGGAAUAUUGCACAAUGGGCGCAAGCCUGAUGCAGCAACGCCGCGUGAGGGAUGACGGCCUUCGGGUUGUAAACCUCUUUUAGCAGGGAAGAAGCGAAAGUGACGGUACCUGCAGAAAAAGCGCCGGCUAACUACGUGCCAGCAGCCGCGGUAAUACGUAGGGCGCAAGCGUUAUCCGGAAUUAUUGGGCGUAAAGAGCUCGUAGGCGGUUUGUCGCGUCUGCUGUGAAAUCCCGAGGCUCAACCUCGGGCCUGCAGUGGGUACGGGCAGACUAGAGUGCGGUAGGGGAGAUUGGAAUUCCUGGUGUAGCGGUGGAAUGCGCAGAUAUCAGGAGGAACACCGAUGGCGAAGGCAGAUCUCUGGGCCGUAACUGACGCUGAGGAGCGAAAGGGUGGGGAGCAAACAGGCUUAGAUACCCUGGUAGUCCACCCCGUAAACGUUGGGAACUAGUUGUGGGGUCCAUUCCACGGAUUCCGUGACGCAGCUAACGCAUUAAGUUCCCCGCCUGGGGGAGUACGGCCGCAAGGCUAAAACUCAAAGGAAUUGACGGGGACCCGCACAAGCGGCGGAGCAUGCGGAUUAAUUCGAUGCAACGCGAAGAACCUUACCAAGGCUUGACAUAUACGAGAACGGGCCAGAAAUGGUCAACUCUUUGGACACUCGUAAACAGGUGGGGGCAGGGUUGUCGUCAGCUCGUGUCGUGAAAAGGUUGGGGUUAAGUCCCGCAACGAGCGCAACCCUCGUUCUAUGUUGCCAGCACGGUAAUGGUUGGGAACUCAUUGGGA
This 1050-nucleotide ribosomal RNA is filed under the name Microbacterium paraoxydans. Its description in RNAcentral is "bacterial SSU rRNA". It matches the Rfam family "Bacterial small subunit ribosomal RNA", at positions 91 to 1147 of the family's 1533-position model. Lineage: Bacteria; Bacillati; Actinomycetota; Actinomycetes; Micrococcales; Microbacteriaceae. The record is from RNAcentral.